RNAcentral lists this ribosomal RNA (449 nucleotides) under uncultured bacterium. RNAcentral describes it as "partial 16S ribosomal RNA". It matches the Rfam family "Bacterial small subunit ribosomal RNA", at positions 29 to 523 of the family's 1533-position model. The record is from RNAcentral.
AACGAACGCUGGCGGCAUGCCUAACACAUGCAAGUCGAACGAGAUCUUCGGGUCUAGUGGCGCACGGGUGCGUAACGCGUGGGAAUCUGCCCUUUGGUUCGGAAUAACAGUUGGAACCGACUGCUAAUACCGGAUGAUGACGAAAGUCCAAAGAUUUAUCGCCAGAGGAUGAGCCCGCGUAGGAUUAGCUAGUUGGUGUGGUAAAGGCGCACCAAGGCGACGAUCCUUAGCUGGUCUGAGAGGAUGAUCAGCCACACUGGGACUGAGACACGGCCCAGACUCCUACGGGAGGCAGCAGUGGGGAAUAUUGGACAAUGGGCGAAAGACUGAUCCAGCAAUGCCGCGUGAGUGAUGAAGGCCUUAGGGUUGUAAAGCUCUUUUACCCGGGAUGAUAAUGACAGUACCGGGAGAAUAAGCUCCGGCUAACUCCGUGCCAGCAGCCGCGGUAA